RNAcentral lists this unclassified non-coding RNA (3984 nucleotides) under Haliotis rubra (blacklip abalone). RNAcentral describes it as "uncharacterized LOC124258869, transcript variant X1". Lineage: Eukaryota; Metazoa; Mollusca; Gastropoda; Lepetellida; Haliotidae. The record is from RNAcentral.
UGGCCGAUGUACGUUGACUUCCCAAGGGCCGAGGUUUGUGCAUGAAGCGUUUUUCCUUUAUAAUCGGUCCAAAUGAAGAAGCUGAAAUAUUAGCCAGCAAGAUGAAGGCCAUUGGAUUGGGUGUUUUCCUCAUCUCUUUGGCUGUCACAAGCUCAGCGAUCCCCUUGACUUUGAUAAAGCAGGGGGCGAAAACUGCGACAAACCAGGCAAUGACCACCCAAAAGCCAACACCGGGUGUUCCAGUACAAUCCACGAAGGCUGAACGCCCGAAGAGGGAAGUCAUCAAUAAGUCUGCCCCGGCUAGUGGUUUGGAGACUGAUGUGGAUGUUGUCUGGAUGUAUGGAAAGACUUGUGUGUCUUCUACCGACUGUGAUGCCGUCAACCAGGUGUGCUCCAUCGCCAGUCAUCAGGCCUAUGGACAUUGUACUGCCAAGCAGGAACAGGAAAGCCACAACUACACCGCACCUAGUCGUGCCCCGGAUGUCGCAGAACAAUUGGAGAAGUUAGGAAGAAAGAUCGAUGGGCUGACACCAACAGGACAAAAUAAGACCAAACAGUUGCAAAAGCGCUUGCAGCGGGACAGUGACUGGAUUGAAAAAAUCAGGCCACAGCUCCAGUCCAGGAUACUGUCUACCGGGGAUUCAACCAAAAAGUAUCGCAAGCGAUCCCUAAAUCUGGAUUUAGAUCUAGACACUGCUUUGGAAAAAACUUUGUCCGACUUGGAGGUCAAUAGGAUAACCAACAAUGUGAAAGUGAGGGCACCCAUGUCGGGUAGAACCAAGGCUAAAGCAUCAUUAAAGAAAGCGUCAGAAAAGAAGGAUAAUACUGGCGUCAAUGUGAAGGGGGAUGUAGAGAUCCAUGUAACUCACCACGUCAUUCACACCACAGCUGAUAACAGAACACUUGGAAACUCGUCCAAUACGUCCAGGGUUGUGAAAGCCAAUCAUUUACAUGGGAUUGAAACCAACUGGAGAAGGAUCAUUAAUGGUAAACAUGAUUUACUGAAUGCAUCACUUCCUCGCCAGCAGCUUGGCUUACAUCAGAUGGGGACUCUGUUGGCUAGUGUGGCCAAGGCUAUAAAACAUGACAUCAACAGAGAUCCCUUCAAACACGGCGGUGACAAAUACUAUUCUGGAGAUUUUAGUGACAUUCAAAAGAAGAAUCGUCGUGGUCAUGAUCAUGCUUUUAAAUAUGAUGACACGGAUGAUCUUCGUCAUAGAUCUGAUGAUGAUAGGCAUGAGAAUGAAAGAUGAGGAGGAAGAAGGAAGGGAUAAGAGGAAGGAUGAUAAUGAAGAUGAGGAUGAAGAAGGUGAUGAGGAUGAAGAAGGUAAUGAAGAUCAUGAUACCGACGAAGAGGAGGAAGAUGAGAAUUCGGAUGAGGAUGAAGAGGAUGAGUCAGAGAAUGUCAAACAUAAGAGGAAGCGCUCUUACGCCAAUAACGCCAAAGCAUUACACAAAAAUAUGAAGGGUUCUCGUAAACAAAAGCGAAGUUUUGGUAUUGUUCAGGAAGCUGUCGAAGCAAUAUUUUCUGACGAUCGUCAUCGGGAAUCAGAAAAGUCGAGCACAGAGUCCGAUGAGAAGUCAGACAGAGACAAAAGAAAUAUCGGAUCAUUGGACGAGUUAUCUCCCGUGUCUCACUAUGAGACAGCUAUUGAGCAAGAUGCACACCCAGAACUCCCAUCAAAAAUCCCUGAAAUACAAGCGGACGAGUUAUCUCCCACACAUCUGCCCUCGCAUCAAGAGGAUUCUCAACGCAUCUCAGCCAGCAACAAGUGGAGCGAGUGUAGUGUCACGUGCGGUCUGGGGAUCCGGAAGAGGAUGAAGAUGUGCGCAGACAUGCGCUGCACACCCGGAAAGAAGCAGAUCAAACCAUGCAUGAUGCCCAUCUGCUGAUGUCGAUGUGUCCAGCGUUGACCAUGGCGUCCUGGAAAAACCCAAACCUCUUUCUCAAACCUCCAAGUGAAUUACAUUUGAUAGUGACGCCAUUUGAUCAGGAGCCUAAUUCAACCUUGGACAGACUCAAAGCGAAACUGCUACAAUUCUCAGACGCCCCGGUUUCUAAAUCAUUUUCUAUGGAAUAUAAUUACAGUAAACUAUGGUUAUUUGGUUAUUGAAACACGCUUAUAACGAACAGACGGAUAUGACGAACUUCUUAGGUUUCGACUCUUGCUGUACAUUAUAUUCGAGUGUAACAAGCUACUUUUAUAAUGAACUGAAGAUUAUGGUCCCUAUAGGUUCGACAUAACCGUAGUUUACAGUGUGUUGUUAGGUGAUUAUUUCUUGGAUAAUUGGAUUACAGAAUGUUGUCUUGUUCUACAUUGUCGGUAGUGAACAAACCAAUUUCGACUUCACUCAUGAAACACAUAAAUAUUGCCAUAUUCUCACCUGCACGUCAAGCGGCACGUUCAAGGGUAGUAACUCGUGUCCGUCUACACAGCUUCAAAAUUGCCCUGAACACUUCGCUGUGUAUUUCCUAUUGAUAUGAGUGAGUGAGUCUAGUUUUACGCCGCUUUUAGCAAUAUUCCAGCAAUAUUAUGGCGGGGAAACCAGAAAUGGGCUUCACACAUUGUACUCCUGUGCGGAAUCGAACUAAGAUCUUCCGCGUGACGAGCGAACACUUUAACCACAAGGCUACCCCCCUAUUGAUAAGAGACGCGCAGGGUAGAAAUUGAGGAAUUUUUUUCUAUUUGCUUUAUACAUUUCAUUGUUUCAAAAAGUAAUAUUGAUUAUAACAUUCCACGACUAAAAUAAAAACAAAAAAAUAGUGAAAUUAUUUUUAAAGAAAGGGGUUGGGUUGUCGUGAGAAACAGGAAAUUUACUUACCGAGCUCAAACUAUUGUGCGUUGAGACCCUAAUGACAUUGUUGUAGCCGACAUCCAAGAAGCAGUGCGGUUGACAAUAACGGACUUCAAAUCGUCAAAGACCCACUUUUACGUAUCAAUAAAAACAAAUAGUCCCUUGCAUGUGUCCUGAAAUCACGAUGUCACUGCAUUGUAUGUACAUGAUGUAAAUAGUUGGGGAUGAUUACGUCGUCAUUCGUUCAUCGUCAUUCGAUCAUCCCGAAAUUGUGUCCUCCAUUCAUCCUGUAAUUUGUUCAUUCAUCUUGUAAUUUGUUCAUCCCGAUUUUGUGAAUCUGCGGGUACCUGUAUAAUAAUGCUUAACAUUUUAACCGGGAAAGGAAUGAAUGGAUAUCACUGAAUAUGUAAUCAGAUAACUAUGAGGAAAAGCAUAUUCAUGCCAAUGAAAGGAUAUCACUGAAAAUGUUAUCGGGUAACUGUUAGGAAGAGCAUGUUCAUGCCAAUGAAAGGAUAUCACUGAAAAUGUUAUCGGGUAACUGUUAGGAAGAGCAUGUUCAUGCCAAUGAAAGGAUAUCCCAGAAAAUGUUAUCGGGUAACUGUUAGGAAGAGCAUGUUCAUGCCAAUGAAAGGAUAUCCCAGAAAAUGUUAUCGGGUAACUAUUAGGAAGAGCAUGUUCAUGCCAAUGAAAGGAUAUCCCAGAAAAUGUUAUCGGGUAACUAUUAGGAAGAGCAUGUUCAUGCCAAUGAAAGGAUAUCCCAGAAAAUGUUAUCGGGUAACUAUUAGGAAGAGCAUGUUCAUGCCAAUGAAAGGAUAUCCCAGAAAAUGUUAUCGGAUAACUAUUAGGAAGAGCAUGUUCAUGCCAAUGAAAGGAUAUCCCAGAAAAUGUUAUCGGGUAACUAUUAGGAAGAGCAUGUUCAUGCCAAUGAAAGGAUAUCCCAGAAAAUGUUAUCGGGUAACUAUUAGGAAGAGCAUGUUCAUGCCAAUGAAAGGAUAUCCCAGAAAAUGUUAUCGGGUAACUGUUAGGAAGAGCAUGUUCAUGCCAAUGAAAGGAUAUCCCAGAAAAUGUUAUCGGGUAACUAUUAGGAAGAGCAUGUUCAUGCCAAUGAAAGGAUAUCCCAGAAAAUGUUAUCGGGUAACUAUUAGGAAGAGCAUGUUCAUGUCAAUGAAAGGAUAUCCCAGAAAAUGU